RNAcentral lists this unclassified non-coding RNA (988 nucleotides) under Hevea brasiliensis (rubber tree). The record is from RNAcentral. Lineage: Eukaryota; Viridiplantae; Streptophyta; Magnoliopsida; Malpighiales; Euphorbiaceae.
AAAGAACUUUCUUCUCAAAGGAAAAGAACAUAAUAGUAAACCAAUGAAGCACAACAGGAAGGGAGGAUGGAUGAAAAUCACACAUAGACUAACAGGAGUAAAGAUAGUGCUUGUUCACUACAAAACCAACCGCAUAACACAGAAGAGUGGACUUCGAAUGAGUUCCAUCAGAAAAUAUAGUCCGGCAUCACAAGGGGAAAUCUUGACACCACAGCUUCGAACGGACUACCUUUUGGAUCUGCUAAUCUUCCAGGUACAAAAGUAAAAGAUCCUUCAAUCGAGCCUGGUGAAUCUUGUUGAGAUGAGCAACUCUGAUAGACAAAUUCUUCCUCCCCGGGUCGUAGCAGUGGAAACUUUCCUAUCACCGCUUCUCCAUUUACAUUAUCUACAACAUUAUCAUUGCAGCGGAUGAUCCAAUGUCUACAAUAUAGUUGGCAGGAAUUGAAGGCCAUCCCAUUCAUUAUGCAUCCUUCAGGUGAAAGAGACAUGCGGAUAGAAUAAGCAAAAAAACUCUUCUCAUAUUCAUCUUGAAUGGUACUGAACUCUGGGACGAACACAGAAGAAGCACGGACCUUUACACCAUUUGUAACAGCAAGAGAACAAAGUGGAGGUACUUCUGGAAAAAGACUGAUACUUCUCACUUUUCCUUCUUUACGGACAUUGAUCAUUCCAUGUUGCAAGCGACGGACAUGUUCCUCUAGCCACAAUAGCAUGGCAUCUUGGGGUUGAGUUGCUUUUACAUUAUGCACUGAACUUAUCAAGGCACUCGGUACACAAGGAAUCACUUCUCCUUCAGUUGUGAGAUUCCUUGUACCAACAUUAAGUUGACCAGUGGAACAGUUCAGAAAGAAAACCUUUUCAUUGUGACCACAAGAGGCCGCUACAACAACAUACUUAGAUCGAUUGCCGAGUCCGAUAUGUCUGAUAGUUUCUUUCGUUUCUAUUAUCAUUUGAUGUAAAGGCAACAAAGAUACAUUCACCAGAUGGU